UACGGAGGGGGCUAGCGUUGUUCGGAAUUACUGGGCGUAAAGCGCGCGUAGGCGGACCUGCAAGUCGGGGGUGAAAGCCCGAGGCUCAACCUCGGAACUGCCUUCGAUACUGCGGGUCUCGAGUCCGGGAGAGGUGAGUGGAAUUCCUAGUGUAGAGGUGAAAUGCGUAGAUAUUGGGAGGAACACCAGUGGCGAAGGCGGCUCACUGGACCGGUACUGACGCUGAUGCGCGAAAGCGUGGGGAGCAAACGGG
RNAcentral lists this ribosomal RNA (253 nucleotides) under uncultured bacterium. Its description in RNAcentral is "partial 16S ribosomal RNA". It matches the Rfam family "Bacterial small subunit ribosomal RNA", at positions 524 to 776 of the family's 1533-position model. The record is from RNAcentral.